ACACGCACAUAAACCCUUCUGUCUCUCUCUCUCUCGCUCUCUCUCUCUGUCUCUUCUGAGGGGAACACACACUGAAAAACAGACAUGUCAUACAAAAACAGAACGGCCUUAUCUUCAUCUGUGUUUUGCUGUUUUGAUGAAUGUUCGGAUGUUUUUCCUACAGCACCCAGUGAGGUUGAGAACAAAAUAUGAUGCUGAUUACAUUUCAAGCAUGGCAACAAGCUACAUCAGACAGAGGCCAUGUUUUCCCUAAAGUGUGCACCUAUCCUCUUCUCCCACCCACACCUCCCCUCCCGCAGCUGUAUCCAAAAGAGAGGAGGAGGUGGAAAGGGGGAUGAGGUAAGUGGAGUGGGGUGAAUGGGGGUGAGAAGUGGGGAGCAGGAGAAACCACCAUCCCCCGUGGAGAGCACUGCUCCAUUCCCACACCACAGGACUGGGGGGCACAGAAUAAAGAAGUGAAGUCUGGUUUUUCCAGGCCACCAAACUAAUGAGAACAAAUAAUAUCCCCCCUGCCACCGCCACUCGUCCACCUGUUUACAGCCUAAGGUGCGUCAGGAGUGACGGGGGAAAGAGGGAGAUGUCAAACACACAGUCCUGAGAAGAGGUCCAAUCAGGAAAAACUGGGCCGUCAAGUCCUACAUAAGUCCAUCAUUUGCCACGAGUGACAUGAGAUAUGAGGGUCACUGGAGGAAGCUGAAGUGGACUUGGCCCUAGUUGCCCUGUUUGGCCCUAGAAUGGAAAUAAAGCCCCGUAGUGGCACCGAGACUGAAGAUGAAGCCCCCAGCUGGCCCUGUGUUUGGCCCUGUGCUAGAGAGCGGGCCAUUGUAGUUCAAGUUGUGCAGACAAGAUGGUCUGAGUGACCGUUAGACGAGACUGGGACACCAGAGACCAUGAAGACUCCCUCAGGGAUAAAACAGAGAAGAGAGAGAGAAGUAGACUAGAACAAGGUAGUGGUGGGAGACAGAGUGCUGCAGGGAACAAAGGAGUUCAUAGCUGUCAUUGGUUUUCUCUUUUUUUGUAGUUCUAUCCAUUCUUUUGUCUGAGGGGGAACUGUAAGAGCCAGGAGGCCCUGAGCAGCAGCUGGCAGGUAGGAAGAGAGGGAAGGAGGGAGUGAGGAAGGAGAUAAGUGAGAGAGGUUGGAUAAAGAGGGAGGGAGGAAUGGAAAGAUAGGUGGAGGGGACAGAGGCCAGGAAGUUUGGCCACAUACUCAAAUCAAAUGUUUAGCUACAUCUGUAUUACUAAACAUGUCAUGGUAAUCAGGUGAUAAUUAGCAAGUAACCUAUU
Sebastes umbrosus (honeycomb rockfish) is the source of this 1284-nucleotide long non-coding RNA. RefSeq lists it as uncharacterized. The record is from RefSeq and is a predicted model, not a curated record. The transcript is spliced from 6 exons. Lineage: Eukaryota; Metazoa; Chordata; Actinopteri; Perciformes; Sebastidae.